This is a small nucleolar RNA of Pteropus vampyrus (large flying fox), 104 nucleotides long. The record is from Ensembl. NCBI's taxonomy places the organism in Eukaryota, Metazoa, Chordata, Mammalia, Chiroptera, Pteropodidae.
AUCCUCUGGCGGCCCAUGAGCGUGACCAUUGGGCGUUCACGCUUUUGUGUGAGAUGUGCCUCCCUCAAACUUUGUUAUGACGUCGACACGUGACCCGUCUGAUG